GGCUUCUCCUUUUUUAAAGGUCUGCAGCGUACCAGCAUUUGUGAAGGCCUGCAGUUCGUAGAAUGAAAUCUAUGUGGAGAUGAUUUAAAAGAACGGUUUCACUGCUAAAAUCCUUUCGAAAUGAGUUCCUUUAAGUUCUUCAGUAACUAAAUCCCCCAGAAAGGAAAGCAGAGAGAAUCUAGCCCUAUACAAUAACAUCCUCUAACAAAGAUUGCUAAAGGAAGAUUUUAGUAGAUGAAUAUCUUCAAUAAUACAUGGUCACAUACAUGUAUCCGACCAUAUGAUGGCUCUCUGCACCAAAUUCCUCCAAACUAUUAUAAUAUGUAUUGUCUGUAGUGCUAUUUAUUUGGCAGUUAAUCAUGUAUUGCACUGUGACAUUUCUUAUACUGAACCAUUAUGUAUGUGUUUAUAUUCUGCCCUCAGCUACUCAAUGCCAGUACCUUAUUCUUAACACAGCAACCACCCUUUCUGGUCUGUCGUCACACCCUCAUCCCCAUCAUAGUUGUUCUCCUCUCUCAUGGAAAUGUUCAGUUUCUGGACAUCUCCUUUCUCUUCCAUUCUUCACCUGACCUUCCUUCCUUUCUUGGCCUGCCUGAAUACCAUAAAGGGAAUUUUAUUUCAAACCCAGGAUCACACUUAAGAGGAAAAGAAACAAAAGCCAGUUCUUUUUAUUGCACAUAGAACAAGGAGAAACUCCACCCCUUUUGUUGUCUGGUAUGUUUAAAACAAGAAAGAACUUUAGAAAGGUAGGAUAU
Molecule: non-coding RNA, 755 nt
Filed under: Pongo abelii (Sumatran orangutan)
Lineage: Eukaryota; Metazoa; Chordata; Mammalia; Primates; Hominidae
Source: RNAcentral